This is a long non-coding RNA of Aethalodelphis obliquidens (Pacific white-sided dolphin), 3629 nucleotides long. RefSeq lists it as uncharacterized. The transcript is spliced from 2 exons. NCBI's taxonomy places the organism in Eukaryota, Metazoa, Chordata, Mammalia, Artiodactyla, Delphinidae. The record is from RefSeq and is a predicted model, not a curated record.
CCAGGGCCGGGCCUCCUGUGGGGAGAGGGGCUUGGGGAGGCAGCACUGAGGCAGCCCAGGAUGUAAGCCCAGGGCAAGCAAGACAUGGAACCUUCCAGGCCUCAGCCACACACCUGGACCACAGCACACAACUAUUUAGAGAAGGCACUGCUGACCGGACCAGAGAAGGACCAACGGGGUGGCAGUGCCUGUUCCAGAGAAAACUGAAGGCUGGGGACCUGGCCACUAGGCCGUGUGUUCAUCUGCGUCCCCAAGGUGGACACUCAAGCCAGGCUAGGCUGCCAGGCAGGCCUGGAGGAAAGUGUGAGAGAGCGUUCUGGAGCAGGCUCGGGUGGGUAUGCACUUGCUGCCCUGAUUGUCUGGACAGUGAGCUGGAUGCCCGCUGCCCCAGCUAGACCCCUGACUGGGGGGUACUCACCUCCAUGGUGUGUCCGGCAUGCACCCAGGCACUUGGCCCAGUGCUGGUGUGGGGAGAGGAAGAGGGUGCAGGCCUCAAGGGCAGAUGGGGACCCCAGGCCACUGACCCACCGGAGGUUGGGUAGUGGCACAGGACAAAGGAUGCCAGGCUUCACAGCAACAAUCCCCAUAAGUUCCACUGGGCACUGGGCUGCCCACCACAUCAGGCCUCUCUCUGGUCUCUGAGAGUUCCGGGUCCCAGGGUGGACACGCCAGCUGGAUUGGGCUAGGCUCCGAGAGGGGACAGAGUGGCAAUGGACUGGCCUCCGAGCAGCUGGGAAGGCAGCAUGCCCUGGCCCAGUGGAGGGUCUAAGGCAGGGCCCCUGGGGUAGCAGUGUGGGUGCCCUUCCUCCCCUGCGCUGCCAGCCUGGGCCCUCGGGUAGGAGAGGAGGGAGCAGGAGGCAACAGCGAUUCUCCAGGGCCAGGCACCCCACCACCCUGAGUGGCCACAUUUCCUCCAUGGGCUCCCAGAGCCCCAGCCCACCUAAAGCUGAGCCCUCCCUGGGGGCAGCCCCUACCCCAGUGAGCUUGGGGGCACAUGGUCGCCGCCCCCACCCUGAAGUGAGUGGCUGGGGCACGUGGGGGCCUCACCUCUCCUCAGGGCCAUCCCUCGUGCAGAGCAGUCCGCAGGCGGGCAGGGAGUGGGGCGCGUCUGUUGGGGCCGGCUGCUCCUGCCCUCUGGAUUUCCCCACUGCCUCUGGGACAGCCAGCACCCUUGUCACUGGCCAGCCCAGCCUGCUGGCCCCAGCUCCAUUAACCCCCUCCUGCCGGGCUGCCAGCAUCAGCACUGGGGCCCAGGGUGCAGAUGGCACAGGGGACAGGCUGGGGGCUGCAUCUGCCCUGACGCAUCUUCAGGGUGCAAGGUGGCCCGGGGUGCAGCUCUAAGGGACAACAGGGGCCCAUACCCCCAUCUUCCCAACCCGCCCAUCUUCCCAUCCCCCUGCAGGGCUGGGUGGAGCAGAGCUGGGGCUGCAGGCAAUACUGGGGGGGGGGGGGUCUCCCUUGGAGCAGCCUGUGAGGAGCUGGUGCUCAGCCAGCUGCCCUGCCUGUGGGUAGGGGCCCCUCAGGGGGCUCCUAGGGUCUUCCCUCCCAGCAGAUGGCCAUGUGGGAGUUAAGCAGGAACCACACGUCUCCAAAUGGGCCUGCCCAUCUACCCCCGGCAUGCUGACCACUCCCCCCCUCCUCCCCAUUUCCUAACUGCCUGGGUGGGGUCCUUGUUCAAGCUGCCAGGGGCCUGGCCCAGCCUUGGCUUCUCCCGUGACCUCAGGGUCAGCUGCUGUCUGGCCACUGCCCCUCCCCCUAGCCUCUUCUAGGAAUGCUUGGCAGGGCCCCGGCCACUUUGUGUUUGUUUUCCCCAACAAUGUCCUCCCAGGAAGAGAGUGGGGGAUGGCUGGCCUCGGGCGCGAGGUCUUGUGGCUGUGAGACCAGCCCCCACCAGCAGUGGGCCCCGUCCUGCCCUUCAGGGCUCCUUUGGGGCCACGGCCACCCUGCACUGCACAGGCCCUGGGACAGGUACCCAGUGCCCAGCCUGAGGUCAGCCACAGGUCAGACAUGGUAAGAAGGGGUAUGGCUGCUUGAUUCAGGGCACCAUCCUCCCCUCCACCUGGGGAGUCCUGGGCUCUGCUCUUCCAGAUCUGACCACAUCUACCCCAGGCUGCCAGGUACCAUGCUGCCCUCCAGCCACCCCUUCCUCCUUUGCUGAGGACCCUUCCUCUGGCUGCCAGACGUGCCUGCCCACCAGUCCCUCUGCUCUGCCUGGGGCGGGGGGCCUGUGCGGGAAGGGGCCAGAAGGCACUGAAAAAGGCAAAACUGAGUCUGGGGAGGGCAAGGCUUGUCAAGCUUUAGGAGACUCUUGAACCUCUUGGUGAGGCAGAGGAGGAGUCAGGUCUGCCUCCUGAAAGGUGCAUGGGUGAGGAGAGAAGAAGUGAGGUACGCAGGAGCUGUCCGGGCCCAGGAGAGGCUGGAGGCCAGCCCCGCCCCCAACCUCGUGGCGCCCCCUCCCCAGCUCAUCCUGCAGCAGUGCCGAGGGGCGGCUUUGUCUUCCUCCCUUUAUUGAGCUUUGAUUUUUUUCCAGGUCGUUUCUCAGCUUCUCUUCUGAGAAAUUAUAGAUCUGCAGGGAGAAAGUCCACACCCAGAAAUUUACACGGUAAACAUACAUUUACACAGUAGAAAGUGCGGACUCAGCAGGAGUCCGGGGCCAUGGGGCCUCUUCACUGGGAAGCUCUCUGCAUGCGGGCCAGACGCACGUGGACUGGAAGGAGGGUUAGUAUUCCUGUCUCCUCACACUUGGAGGGUUGGGGCUGGAAACUUGCUGUAAAUCCCCAGUCGAGCUUGUGUGGCAGAGAACCCUUAUCGGGACUGUGGCAGGCAGGUUAGGUAUUUGUAAACCUUUCUCGAGUCCUGCGGUAACACUGGUGUUCAGCCUGCUGAGUUCAGAAAAGACCUCUGUUCUGGCCGCCCGGGGCCAGCUCUGUCCCUGCUCCCCCAAAGCGGCCAGUCCUGACCCAGGCUGACUACUGCCCUGGUCUCUCUUUACAGUUCACCCCCGAGGGUCCCCCCGAGGAGUCUGGUUUCUGGUCUUUGUGGAAAUGGUGUUGUACAGAAGCCCCAGGCCCAGCCACUCGUGUGCCAAGUCAUAGCAUCCCUUCCCUCCUUCCUGUCGUGGUGCUACGACCCUGUGGGGCCCUUGUGCGUUCCUGUGGUCCUGAGUGGACCCACUGGGACCAGCCUGUGUCAUCCUUGCAGGUAAGGCCAACCCCUUCCGGGGUAGUUAGGGGUCACACCUUCCUGGAGCCAAUAGGGGUGCCCUCAACACCACCCCCACCCUGUCUUCUCAGCCCUGAAGGUGGGGGGACAGUGGCUUUCAUUGUCCUGUGUUUGUUCAAUCACUAAUGAUGGCAGCUGUUCACAGGGAGGUUCAUUGGCCAGUGGAUUGUCCUUUUCUGUAAAGUACAUGUUUAAGUCUUUUGCUGUCAGUGUAACUUAUGUUUUUUUUAAAACUGUAUGCUGGAUGGAAGCCCCUUGUUAGGUAUGUGUGGCCAGUGUUGUCUUCUGCACUGUGGUUUGCCUCCAUUCUCUUCAUUGUGAUUCUGGUGAGAGUUCUUAAUUUUAACAUGGUCUCAUAAGGUGUUCCUUAAAUGGAAAAACUGCAAAAAAAGUUUUUUUUAUCUAGG